RNAcentral lists this ribosomal RNA (521 nucleotides) under uncultured Actinomycetes bacterium. RNAcentral's name for it is "bacterial SSU rRNA". It matches the Rfam family "Bacterial small subunit ribosomal RNA", at positions 345 to 880 of the family's 1533-position model. Lineage: Bacteria; Bacillati; Actinomycetota; Actinomycetes. The record is from RNAcentral.
GAGGCAGCAGUGGGGAAUCUUGCGGAAUGGGCGAAAGCCUGACGCAGCGAUGCCGCGUGCGGGACGAAGGCCUUCGGGUUGUAAACCGCUUUCAGCAGGGACGAAAUUGACGGUACCUGCAGACGAAGCCCCGGCCAACUACGUGCCAACAGCCGCGGUAAUACGUAGGGGGCGAGCGUUGUCCGGAUUUAUUGGGCGUAAAGAGCUCGUAGGCGGUUCAGCAAGUCACGUGUGAAAUCUCCACGCUCAACGUGGAGGCGCCACGUGAAACUGCUGUGACUCGAGUCCGGUAGGGGAGCGUGGAAUUCCCGGUGUAGCGGUGAAAUACGCAGAGAUCGGGAGGAACACCCGUAGCGAACGCGGCGCUCUGGGCCGGUACUGACGCUGAGGAGCGAAAGCGUGGGGAGCAAACAGGAUUAGAUACCCUGGUAGUCCACGCCGUAAACCUUGGGCACUAGGUGUGGGGGUCUAUCGACGGUCUCCGUGCCGUAGCUAACGCAUUAAGUGCCCCGCCUGGGGAG